CUGGGGGGGCUGGGCCUGAAUUUGGGGUGAAAAAGGGAAAAGGAAGAGGAGGGAAGGCCCUGGGAAGAGCCAGGAGCCCCAGUUUGGGGGGAAUUAACGGAAUUUGGUGAUUCCAGGGAUCUUCACGGUGGAGCUCGGUGAGUCCCGCCCUGCCCCUGCCCCUCGCUAAUUAAUGGCUCGUUAAUUGAUGGGAAAUGACCCCAAACCCCCCUCUCCCUCUCUCCCAGGGGAGCGACACACGAAAAUCGGGGAGCUCACAGCUGACGUGGAGAUCUGCACUAAACGGCUCCAGCAGCACCAGGCCGAGCUGGGUGAGGAACUCUCCCUCCUGUUUUGGGGCGUUUUCCAGGAAAAUCGGGGCUUUCGGGAAAAUGGGGAUUUUUAUUGGGUUUAGAGGUGCAGGCACAGAACCUGAAAUGAGUAUUAUUAAUACAGGAUAUCCCAAAGAUAUAAAUAUAAACGUCACUGUUAAUGUUCAGGGAUAAUUAUAAAUACAGGGAUAUUUAUAGUAUGUUAUUUAUGUGAAUAUGUGAUAUUUAUAAU
RNAcentral lists this long non-coding RNA (543 nucleotides) under Parus major (Great Tit). RNAcentral describes it as "lncRNA (ENSPMJG00000002808.1)". Lineage: Eukaryota; Metazoa; Chordata; Aves; Passeriformes; Paridae. The record is from RNAcentral.